GACGAACGCUGGCGGCGUGCUUAACACAUGCAAGUCGAACGGAAAGGCCCUGCUUUUGUGGGGUGCUCGAGUGGCGAACGGGUGAGUAACACGUGAGUAACCUGCCCUUGACUUUGGGAUAACUUCAGGAAACUGGGGCUAAUACCGGAUAGGAGCUCCUGCUGCAUGGUGGGGGUUGGAAAGUUUCGGCGGUUGGGGAUGGACUCGCGGCUUAUCAGCUUGUUGGUGGGGUAGUGGCUUACCAAGGCUUUGACGGGUAGCCGGCCUGGGAGGGUGACCGGCCACAUUGGGACUGAGAGACGGCCCAGACUCCUACGUGAGGCAGCAGUGGGGAAUAUUGCACAAUGGGCGGAAGCCUGAUGCAGCAACGCCGCGUGCGGGAUGACGGCUUUCGGGUUGUAAACCGCUUUCGCCUGUGACGAAGCGUGAGUGACGGUAAUGGGUAAAGAAGCACCGGCUAACUACGUG
Molecule: ribosomal RNA, 468 nt
Filed under: uncultured bacterium
Lineage: Bacteria
Description: partial 16S ribosomal RNA
Rfam family: Bacterial small subunit ribosomal RNA
Source: RNAcentral